CAAAUGAAUUGACGGGGGCCCGCACAAGCAGCGGAGCAUGUGGUUUAAUUCGAAGCAACGCGAAGAACCUUACCAGGGCUUGACAUCCCGAUGACCGGUACAGAGAUGUACCUUCCCUUCGGGGCAUUGGAGACAGGUGGUGCAUGGUUGUCGUCAGCUCGUGUCGUGAGAUGUUGGGUUAAGUCCCGCAACGAGCGCAACCCCUAUCCUUAGUUGCCAUCAGUUAAAGCUGGGCACUCUAAAGAGACUGCCGGGGAUAACUCGGAGGAAGGUGGGGAUGACGUCAAAUCAU
This 292-nucleotide ribosomal RNA is filed under the name uncultured eukaryote. RNAcentral describes it as "partial 18S ribosomal RNA". It matches the Rfam family "Bacterial small subunit ribosomal RNA", at positions 902 to 1193 of the family's 1533-position model. The record is from RNAcentral.